UGGGCAGUAUGCAGAGCUGUCUCUUUGUGU
Molecule: non-coding RNA, 30 nt
Filed under: Rattus norvegicus (Norway rat)
Lineage: Eukaryota; Metazoa; Chordata; Mammalia; Rodentia; Muridae
Source: RNAcentral